GUCAGCAGCCAUAUCACCCUGCAGCCCAAGACUGGUUGCCCACUGAAGCUAAGCAGGGUUGAGCCUGGUCAGUACCUUGAUGGGAGACCUCCUGGGAAAACUAGGUUGCUGCUGGAA
This 117-nucleotide ribosomal RNA is filed under the name Sinocyclocheilus rhinocerous. The record is from RNAcentral. Lineage: Eukaryota; Metazoa; Chordata; Actinopteri; Cypriniformes; Cyprinidae.